Molecule: small RNA, 595 nt
Filed under: Malus domestica (apple)
Lineage: Eukaryota; Viridiplantae; Streptophyta; Magnoliopsida; Rosales; Rosaceae
Description: sRNA MD10G0287600
Source: RNAcentral
CUGUAUAUAAAGAACCAUUUUGUUGUUUUUCUAGAUCUUGUAGUUGUCCAACUUCUUCUGAAGUCAACGUUGGUUCUUCUUCUUCUUCUGAAGUCAACGUUGGUUCUUCUUCUCCUUCGUCAGCCACAUAAGCGAUGCCAUCCUCAUCGGAUUCAUCAUUGCAACUGCAACAGCAAGAAUUAGUCGAAGUUUUUGCAAGAAAAGCAAGGAUUCCAUUACAAAUAAGAAAGAUUACUUCCUCUCAAGGGUGUGGGUAAAGAUUGACAAAAGCAACGUGGAGAAAUAGGCGUUGAACUGAUUGAAGGGAUCGGGAAGUACACAAAAACCUGAUGAUGUUACAAAAAGAAACAAGGACAACAAAGACACUGAGACUACAAACUUCAAAGUCCUCGUUAUAAACAACUUGGCGUAGUACUUAUUGUCGAUGAAUUUGUCAAAAGCUUGGAGCUUCUGAUCCUCACUACUUUGAUGAUCCAUAUGUAUGUGUGAUUGCUUACAAAUAUUGUGAGUGACGAAGCUAGGGUUACAAGGGAAUGAAUGGCCUUGGUUUUUGUGUGUUUCAGAAUUAGGUUGUUCAAGUAAUUUGAGCUGCUUU